This 253-nucleotide ribosomal RNA is filed under the name uncultured bacterium. RNAcentral describes it as "partial 16S ribosomal RNA". It matches the Rfam family "Bacterial small subunit ribosomal RNA", at positions 524 to 776 of the family's 1533-position model. The record is from RNAcentral.
GACGGAGGAUGCAAGUGUUAUCCGGAAUCACUGGGCGUAAAGCGUCUGUAGGUCGUUUAAAAAGUCUACUGUUAAAAAUUGAAGCUUAACUUCAAAGAUGCCGUAGAAACUUUUAAACUUGAGUAUGGUAGGGGUAGAGGGAAUUUCCAGUGGAGCGGUGAAAUGCGUAGAUAUUGGAAAGACCACCAAUGGCGAAGGCACUCUACUGGGCCAUUACUGACACUGAGAGACGAAAGCUAGGGGAGCAAACAGG